Molecule: transfer RNA, 70 nt
Filed under: Urocynchramus pylzowi
Lineage: Eukaryota; Metazoa; Chordata; Aves; Passeriformes; Fringillidae
Description: tRNA-Pro
Rfam family: tRNA
About the family: Transfer RNA (tRNA) molecules are approximately 80 nucleotides in length. Their secondary structure includes four short double-helical elements and three loops (D, anti-codon, and T loops). Further hydrogen bonds mediate the characteristic L-shaped molecular structure. tRNAs have two regions of fundamental functional importance: the anti-codon, which is responsible for specific mRNA codon recognition, and the 3' end, to which the tRNAs corresponding amino acid is attached (by aminoacyl-tRNA synthetases). tRNAs cope with the degeneracy of the genetic code in two manners: having more than one tRNA (with a specific anti-codon) for a particular amino acid; and 'wobble' base-pairing, i.e. permitting non-standard base-pairing at the 3rd anti-codon position.
Source: RNAcentral
CAGGAAGUAGUUUAUUUUAAAAUGCCAGCUUUGGGAGUUGGUGAUGGAGGUUUAAGCCCUUUCUUCCUGA